AGUUGUCCCUGCACUGUGAUAGCUGUAUAGCUAAUUCACACUUAUUGAUGAAAAAAAGAUAUCCAUUAUAUAUUUGUACCAGUUCAUAGUAGAUACAGCAGCUGGAAGGGUAAACUCACGUCUCUCAGGAGGGUGAAGCUGGAAGGAUGCUUCAUUUUAAGCCUAGAAAGAUCCCGUAGGGUUGAUAUUCUCAAGAGUCUUCUGAAUAUGCUGGAGUUUUAAGGGGCCCAGUAGUGACACCCCUGUUCUUUGCUCAACAUAGACAUGAAAAAAUUUUUUUUUUUUUGACUUUUUGUCUUUUUAGGGCCACACCCGCGGCAUAUGGAGGUUCCCAGGCUAGCGGUCUAAUCAGGGCUGUAGCUGCCGGCCUAUGCCAGAGGCCAGCAACACCAGAUCUGAGCCUCAUCUGCAACCUACACCACAGCUCAUGGCAAUGCUGGAUCCUUAACCAACUGAGAGAGGCCAGGGAUCGAACCCUCAACCUCAUGGAUCCUAGUCGGAUUCGCUUCUGCUGCGCCACAGGGAGAACUCCUUUGCUGCAGAAUUUAAUACCCAACCCACCGAGGCAAGGCAGUCUUGCCCACAGAGGCAGAGUCUUUCCUGCUAAACUCUUGAGCAGAUGCUCAAUUCAUGCUUCAUGCAAAUAACUGGACCCCAGAAAAGGAGAUGCAGGAGCUGAAGCAUCAUCCUUAAUUCCUUCCACCAAAUUCAGGGGAUUAAGUCUGCCCCUGUUGCCUGGUGGGAAGAGUUCCAACAACAUCUAAGGAAGUAUAAAAACCAACCAAUCAGACAGACCCUGGGCUCACCCACCCAUUAUUCCCUUUCUGAUAGUAGCACCAGGGGUGUUUUAUGGCAGAAGGGGGUCCAGUUUCCCCCAGGCUCUCAGGAAUACAUUGGUGCCCAUGCCCAACUUCCUGGAAACGCUUGUUGAACCUGUUGAUACUGAUUGGUAUGACUUCGUGGGGAAGCCAGUUCGUUGUUUCCCCCAUGGAGCAUCUAUCUGUAUCCCCAGACUGUGGGGGAGAGAACAGGAGGGCCAGGCUACGUCCCCGCUUUUGUCCUCCAGGUGGCAGGAGCACCAUCUGGACUCUUCUCGCCGGGGCCACCUCAGGCCAAGCCAAAGAUAACACUGCUUCCACGCACAGGAACAUGCUGUGCUUUUCUGGGUUCCCAGGAAACCAAAUCCCAGCGAAGUUCAACAGUGCUGUUCGACUACGGGUAGCUCACAUUCGGAGCAUGAAGGACAAACAUGAGGCCCCAGAACUUCCUUCUGUAGGAGACUUAAGAGCCCCCUCCUGGGUCUUCUCUGAUCCUUUGCUAUGGGUUCUUUGAAGCCUUGUUCAGGUAGUGUCAGAAAUUCUUCCACAGCCUGGCUCAAGUACCCAGGGUAAAGAGCUGCCCCUGUUGCUCUGGAGGGAGGGGCAAGGAGUUGCAAACACCCACACACCCACCCCACUGACUCCCUUCCCCAGUGCCUCUCCCUCCCCAUAAGCUCAUCCCAAGGCUAGUGCAACAGAAUGCAACAGAAGCUAACUCAUCAUGCUGACUUGUCAGAAACGAGGGAUGUGGAUGCAGUUGCCUGCUUGCUAUUUCUUCCUGGAUGUCUCACAGGAACAUCUCCCACCUCCAUCCCAAGCCUGGGCCUUCUGCAGUGCCCCCCUCUCAGCAAAGGCUUCCCCACCCAUUCCAUGUGUAAGCAGGGAACCUAGGUCCACUCCUGUUCUCUCAGCCCAUGUCUAAGUCAUUGCCAAUUCAUUGCGAUGUUUUCCUCUGAUCAUCUCUUGAAUCCCCUUCACUACCCUCCCGUCAGGGUCACAGGCAUCUCUUGCACCAGUUAUUCUGCGUGCAUUUUCUCUCGCCUUCUCCGCUUCAGCUGCACAUUGCAACUAGCAUUUUUUUCUUUUUCAGAAUGCCAAUCUCAUCCUGUUACUUCUCCACUUUAAGGCCUUUCAAUUGCUUCCUCCUGUUCCUGGGACAAAAACGAAGACCCUAAAAUGACCUGCUAGACCUUAACCUUGCCCUUGCUGCACCUCCACCCUCUGGUCUGGCUGUGCCUCCCACCCCAGCUGCCCUCUCUAUUUCAGUCUCUCAGGCACCGUUUCUCCUCCCAGCAAAGGGCCAAUGUGUAGGUAUGUGCUUUCUUUGCUUGCACUACUUUGCCUUCUUUGUGCAAGUUUAAGGCUGUCUGACGCUUCAGAUCUCAGCUGGCAGUCACUUCCUCAGGGGAAAUUUUCUGACUUUCUGGAAUAAACCAAAUCUCUCCGUUGUAUUUUUCCAUGGCACCAAUGCCCAUCCCCCUUCAGAGCACUUACCAUGGUCACUAUCUGACACUUAUUCGAGGAUUAUUUCAUUCGUGUGUCUCCCCAACUAAAACGUAGCCCCACAUGGGCAAGAAGGACUUCUAUUUUUGCUCUCGCUGAAUUGGGUCCCCUGUGUCAGCCAUAAGGAUGAACAGAGGGCCCAUAACUCUGUGUUGAAUGAAUUGCAAGGUCCUCGCUGAGCCCCUACUGAGCAGGGCACUGUCUGGGGGCAGCUGCUCCCGCUCUGGCUCUGGGCUCUUCCCCUCCAUCGCAGCCUUAUCCAGUUUCCACCCUGUGGAAGGCCCGUCCUCCCCUUGGCUCUACGCCUCCCAUGGAGCGUGGGUUCCUGUGCUGAAGGACCGUCUCUGCAGCUGCUCUGCGAAGCCCCCACUGACCUCGCCAGAGCCAUUGCCUCUACUUGACUCUAACCUCUUGGGGAGGGUUCCUGCCUCCAGCUGCCAAUGUCACCUCCCUCUGGGGGAAUUUGACUGAGCUAACUGGGCUCUCCUGGAUUUUUCUCUGCUUUAGGAAGAGCACAGAACAGAGGACUGAAUGUGAAUCAGAAACUCUUGACUUUCUCUCUCUCUCUCUGCCCUUCUUGCCUUUUCUUCCUUCCUCUUCUUUCUCCUCCUCAACUCUUCAACCACCCCUGCCUAUAAGACGUUUUUCCUCUCCAAAGGAAUUACUAGCCAUCCCCUCUGCUUAGGAGCUGGCUGUGAGGAACCAGGUCAACGUGACAGAGGGGUCCCCAUGCCAGCAGCCCAAGCACACAGAACUUGAGGGAUUUUCUCUGAUGUGCACUGUUUUGCAGAGAAGUAUCUAUUUGUGCCUUUCAGAAUCCAUAGGUCUCCCACAGGAAAUGUGCGUUCAUAGUGCAUGUUUACAUCUGAGGGGGUUGUUGGGGAGAGGUCAGCCCCAGGUUUCCACAGGCAGCCUCUCUCCCCUCUCCAGCUGCCAGAGGUCUCUGCAGGAGAUCCUGCAGCAGUUAGUGACCAUUUCUCCUGGGGUGCCCAUGAAAAUGCGCCUCAAAGACCUCCAACUACAAGGAGCGAAACUACCCCAGCUGCUGUGAUCAGAGAUCCGGCUCCUGGUGCACAUGGUCUUUAGGCUGGGCCUGACCGUUGACUGUCCACAGCCGCAACUCCAAGGCAGGCCUGCCCCUGGGUGCCAUAGAACGCCUCUGACAGCUGACUUUCACUCCAGGACUCCCUGACCACCUGCGUCAAGCUCUGUAUCCUGCAGGGCCCCCUAGGAUACAUCUGCCCAAACUUCUUUCCUCUUCGCUCUGUUGGGGGUCCCUCUCACACUGACACUCCCAGCCACGCCAGCUGCCUACACAUGGCUUGUCACUGGCAAUUCCCCUAUUAAGUCCUGGCAUGUUUAAUCCGCCUCUUAGCCGCUGCUUCUUGGAAGACCCAGACGAUCUUUUUAUGCAGAUUCUCUGGAAGAGCAGCAUGCUCAGUAACAACAAAGCCUUCCAAUCAUGCUUUUCUAGGACAUAUAGAUCUUGAGAUAAGAAGGGUGAAAAACAACAUUAAAAACUGCACAUGCUGGCGUUCCCAUUGUGGCUAACAAACCUGACUAGGAUCUUUGAAGAUGCAGAUUUGAUCCCUGGCCCCACUCAGUGGGUUAAGGGUCCAGCAUUGCUAUGAGCUGCAAUGUAGGUCACAGAUGCGGCUCAGAUCCGGCAUUGCCGUGGCUGUGGCGCAGGCUGGCAGCUGCAGCUCUGGUUCAGUCCCUAGCCCGGGAACUUUCAUAUGCUGCAGGUGCAGCCCUAAAAAGACAGAAAAAAAAAACCAAAACACUGCACAUGCAACAUUAAAAACUGUGUAAGUAUAAAGGAGGCCCAUAUAUAGUAGUAUUUCUUACAUAAAAAUGGUGUGUCCUCACAUGCACCCGCAUGUUCAUUGCAGCUCUAUUCACAAUAGCCAUGACAUGGAAACAACCCAAAUGUCCAUCGACAGAAGAUUGGAUUAGGAAGAUAUGGUAUAUACACAAGGGAAUACUACUCAGCCAUAAAAAAGAACAAAAUAAUGCCAUUUGCAGCAACAUGGAUGGAACUAGAGAAUCUCAUACUGAGUGAAGUAAGUCAGAAAGAUAAAGACACAUACCAUAUGAUAUCACUUAUAUCUGGAAUCUAAUAUACAGCGCAAAUGAACCUUUCCACAGAAAAGAAAAUCAUGGACUUGGAGAAUAGACUUGUGGUUGCCAAGGGGGAAGAGGAGAGAGUGGGGUGCUUAGAGAGCUUGGGGUUAAUAGAUACAAACUAUUGCCUUUGGAAUGGAUUAGCAGUGAGAUCCUGCUGUGUAGCACUGGGAACUCUGUCUAGUCACUUAUGAUAGUGCAUGAUAAUGUGCAAAAAUAGAAUGUGUACAUGUAUGUAUAACUGGCACCAUGCUGUACAGUAGAAAAAAAUUGUAUUGGGGAAAUAACUAUU
RNAcentral lists this long non-coding RNA (4737 nucleotides) under Sus scrofa (pig). Its description in RNAcentral is "lncRNA (ENSSSCG00060008663.1)". The record is from RNAcentral. Lineage: Eukaryota; Metazoa; Chordata; Mammalia; Artiodactyla; Suidae.